AUUGAACGCUGGCGGCAGGCCUAACACAUGCAAGUCGAGCGGAUGAAGGGAGCUUGCGCCUGGAUUCAGCGGCGGACGGGUGAGUAAUGCCUAGGAAUCUGCCUGGUAGUGGGGGAUGACGUCCGGAAAAGGGCGCUAAUACCACCUACGUCCUGAUGGAGCAAGUGGGGGAUCUUCGGACAUCACGCUAUCAGGUGAGCCUAGGUCGGAUUGGCUAGCUGGUGGGGUAGAGGCCUACCAAGGCGACGAUCCGUAACUGGUCUGAGAGGAUGAUCAGCCGCACUGGAGGUUGGACGGGGUCCUGAGGCCUGCGGUAGGCCGCAGGCGGGAAUGUUGGGCAAUGGGGGGAAGCCUGACACAGCCGGGGCGAGUGUGUGGAGAAGGUCUUGCGAUGGGAAAGCACGUUUAGGUGGGAGAAAGGGCAGUAGGUUAAUACCUUGCGGUAUUGACGUUACCGACAGAAUAAGCACCGGCUAACUUCGUG
Molecule: ribosomal RNA, 484 nt
Filed under: uncultured bacterium
Lineage: Bacteria
Description: partial 16S ribosomal RNA
Rfam family: Bacterial small subunit ribosomal RNA
Source: RNAcentral